RNAcentral lists this ribosomal RNA (474 nucleotides) under uncultured bacterium. RNAcentral's name for it is "SSU rRNA". It matches the Rfam family "Bacterial small subunit ribosomal RNA", at positions 26 to 521 of the family's 1533-position model. The record is from RNAcentral.
AGAUUGAACGCUGGCGGCAUGCCUAACACAUGCAAGUCGAACGUCCUGUCUCGCAAGAGGCAGGGAGUGGCGGACGGGUGAGUACCACGUGGGUCAUCUACCGUGAGGUGAGGAAUACCGGCGAGAAAUCGCCGACAAGACCGCAUAGCCUCGGUGCAAGCCGAGGAAAGCUUUCUCGAGAGAGGAAGCGCCACACGAGGAGCCUGCGCCCGAUUAGCUAGCUGGUGGAGUAACGGUUCACCAGGGCGACGAUCGGUAGCUGGUCUGAGAGGACGAUCAGCCACACUGGGAUUGAGAACGGCCCAGACUCCUACGGGGGCAGCAGUGAGGAAUUUUCGUCAAUGGGGGCAACCCUGAACGAGCAACGCCGCGUGCAGGAAGAAGGUUUCGGAUCGUAAACUGCUUUUCUCGGGGAAGAGAACGGACGGUACCCGAGGAAUCAGCCCCGGCUAACUACGUGCCAGCAGCCGCGGU